RNAcentral lists this ribosomal RNA (253 nucleotides) under uncultured bacterium. RNAcentral describes it as "partial 16S ribosomal RNA". It matches the Rfam family "Bacterial small subunit ribosomal RNA", at positions 524 to 776 of the family's 1533-position model. The record is from RNAcentral.
UACGGAGGGUGCAAGCGUUGCUCGGAAUUAUUGGGCGUAAAGGGCAGGUAGGUGGUCUCAUUUGUCUGGGGUGAAAGCCUUGAGCUUAACUCAAGAAGUGCCCCAGAAACGGUGAGACUCGAGUACUGGAGAGGGUCGUGGAAUUCCCGGUGUAGCGGUGAAAUGCGUAGAGAUCGGGAGGAACACCAGAGGCGAAGGCGACUCUUUGGCCUGUAACUGACGCUGAGGCGCGAAAGCGUGGGGAGCAAACAGG